CCUACGGGCGGCAGCAGUGGGGAAUAUUGGACAAUGGGCGAAAGCCUGAUCCAGCCAUGCCGCGUGUGUGAAGAAGGCCUUCGGGUUGUAAAGCACUUUCAGUGGGGGAGAAAGCCUUGGGGCUAAUACCCUCGAGGAAGGACAUCACCCACAGAAGAAGCACCGGCUAACUCCGUGCCAGCAGCCGCGGUAAUACGGAGGGUGCGAGCGUUAAUCGGAAUUACUGGGCGUAAAGCGCGCGUAGGCGGUCUGAUAAGCCGGUUGUGAAAGCCCCGGGCUCAACCUGGGAACGGCAUCCGGAACUGUCAGGCUAGAGUGCAGGAGAGGAAGGUAGAAUUCCCGGUGUAGCGGUGAAAUGCGUAGAGAUCGGGAGGAAUACCAGUGGCGAAGGCGGCCUUCUGGACUGACACUGACGCUGAGGUGCGAAAGCGUGGGUAGCAAACAGGAUUAGAUACCCGAGUAGUC
RNAcentral lists this ribosomal RNA (465 nucleotides) under Vreelandella stevensii. RNAcentral describes it as "partial 16S ribosomal RNA". It matches the Rfam family "Bacterial small subunit ribosomal RNA", at positions 338 to 795 of the family's 1533-position model. Lineage: Bacteria; Pseudomonadati; Pseudomonadota; Gammaproteobacteria; Oceanospirillales; Halomonadaceae. The record is from RNAcentral.